UCAAUAAUCGUUCACGAUUAUUGAGGCAUUUUUAUUGACAUGAAAAUAAUAUAACUACGAUAGACUAGGCUGUAUAGGCUACGCUCUUUGCCUGCUUAUUGGCGAAUUUAAAAACAACAAGAAGAAUAUCGUUGCCGGUUUUCGGAUUUUCAUUUCCGAAAGAAGGGUCAAUGAAGUCUAUUCUCAGAAACCGGCUUCAUUUUUAUUAUUAUUAUAUAUAAUAAUAAUAAUAAUAAUAUGUACAUAUGGGCUUAUUUCUAGCAACAUUAACCACAAUUAACCUAUUUAACACUGUAAUUAACUAACAACAACUUAAUUUUAGCUGCAGAAAAAAACAAAAUUCUCUUAAACCUGGGUGAGAAUAUAAAAAUCGUUUUCUGAAUAUGAAACGAUAUUUCUUUGUCUAUCAAAUUAACGGCCGUUUUCAAUAACCUAUCUAUCCCUAGUUUCGGUUACUAAAGAUAGACAAAUCUAUAUUUUUGUCCUUACUUACGUUCCAAUAACCUAUCGACGGGCAGCAGUUCCUAUCGGAUUUAUCUAUCCAUCGUCGGGAGGACGGAUAGCCUGCUAAAGAUAGAACGCUCAUACAAAUCGUGCUUACUUCCGUUUCAAUAUGAGUUUUAAGUAACUCUCCGGUAGGCGGCGCUAUCUCUAGUAUGGGCAUUCGCUUAUCUGUCAAAAUCGGCCGGUUACAUGUUUAUCUUUCGAAAGUAAAUCGCUAUAAUUUAAUAAUUAUUUCUCUUCAUAUUGGCAUAUUGUAGCAGUGAUGAUAGUGAUAUGGAAUUAUUUCAAAUGAUAAUGGAUUGUGAUGCAGAUAGUGAUAGUGAGGCCGAUAUCAUAUGGUUAGGAAAAUAAAGAUCGUCUGAAUUACAUGGCGAAGAUCAAUAAUUACGAAUUUGACUAUAGAUUUCUGAGCAAAGGUGUUGUGAAUGAAUUGAUUAAUUUAAUGAGACCAUAUUUGAGUGUAACGUCAAAAAGAUUCAAAUAUAGGAGAGGAAUUUAGAAAUAGAAAAAGAGUAUUUUGAAUGUGUAAUUUGUGUGCAAUGCAUCAUUGAUGUUUCAAAAUGUUGUUGCUUGAAGGCCUGGGUCUACUCAUGAUACAACUAUAAUUAACCAUUCCGAUUGAAAAGAUGUAUUGGUGUUUGUAAAAGAAGACUCCCUGUAUAUCAUUGAAAAGUAGAUUAAAACUAGAAAAUAUGCAAGCUGUUAUUAUAGCUGCCAUGCUGCAUAAUAUCGUCAGAAGUAUGAAUUUAGAAGAAUUAGAAUCAGAAAUUUCAGUCGCAGAUACAUUACAGGAAAAUAAUAUAAUUGUUCGUAACAAUUUUUCAAAACCUACAUCUGAAAUACAACUAUGUACUUAUAAAUAAUUGCUUCCAAAGAUAAUUUAUAAAAUAAACUCCAAAGAUAA
This is a long non-coding RNA of Bombyx mori (domestic silkworm), 1408 nucleotides long. RefSeq lists it as uncharacterized. The transcript has 3 exons. The record is from RefSeq and is a predicted model, not a curated record. NCBI's taxonomy places the organism in Eukaryota, Metazoa, Arthropoda, Insecta, Lepidoptera, Bombycidae.